UGGGGAAUAUUGGACAAUGGGCGCAAGCCUGAUCCAGCAAUACCACGUGAAUGAUGAAGGCCUUAGGGUUGUAAAAUUCUUUUAGUAGGGAAGAUAAUGACGGUACCUACAGAAAAAGCACCGGCUAACUUCGUGCCAGCAGCCGCGGUAAUACGAAGGGUGCUAGCAUUGUUCGGAAUCAUUGGGCGUAAAGCGUAUGUAGGCGGCUUAGCAAGUUGGUUGUGAAAUCCCGGGGCUCAACCUCGGAAUUGCAAUCAAAACUGCUUCGCUAGAGUAUAGUAGGGGAUAGUGGAAUUCCUAGUGUAGGGGUGAAAUCCGUAGAUAUUAGGAGGAACAUCGGCGGCGAAAGC
Molecule: ribosomal RNA, 350 nt
Filed under: uncultured bacterium
Lineage: Bacteria
Description: bacterial SSU rRNA
Rfam family: Bacterial small subunit ribosomal RNA
Source: RNAcentral